GGACUACUAGGGUAUCUAAUCCCGUUCGCUCCCCUGGCUUUCGUGUCUCAGCGUCAGUUAAGACCCAGUGUGCCGCUUUCGCCACCGGCGUUCCUUCCAAUAUCAACACAUUUCACCGCUCCACUGGAAGUUCCGCACACCCCUAUCUUACUCAAGUCGACCAGUUUAGAGCGCAAUGCCUUGGUUAGGCCAAGGCCUUUCACACCCUACUUAGUCAACCGCCUACACACCCUUUAAGCCCAGUGAUUCCGAAUAACGUUCGCACAGUACGUAUUACCGCGGCUGCUGGCAC
Molecule: ribosomal RNA, 292 nt
Filed under: uncultured bacterium
Lineage: Bacteria
Also listed under: 2 other names
Description: partial 16S ribosomal RNA
Source: RNAcentral